This 468-nucleotide ribosomal RNA is filed under the name uncultured bacterium. Its description in RNAcentral is "partial 16S ribosomal RNA". It matches the Rfam family "Bacterial small subunit ribosomal RNA", at positions 28 to 507 of the family's 1533-position model. The record is from RNAcentral.
GACGAACGCUGGCGGCGUGCUUAACACAUGCAAGUCGAACGGAAAGGCCCUGCUUUUGUGGGGUGCUCGAGUGGCGAACGGGUGAGUAACACGUGAGUAACCUGCCCUUGACUUUGGGAUAACUUCAGGAAACUGGGGCUAAUACCGGAUAGGAGCUCCUGCUGCAUGGUGGGGGUUGGAAAGUUUCGGCGGUUGGGGAUGGACUCGCGGCUUAUCAGCUUGUUGGUGGGGUAGUGGCUUACCAAGGCUUUGACGGGUAGCCGGCCUGAGAGGGUGACCGGCCACAUUGGGACUGAGAUACGGCCCAGACUGCUACGGGAGGCAGCAGUGGGGAAUAUUGCACAAUGGGCGGAAGCCUGAUGCAGCAACGCCGCGUGCGGGAUGACGGCCUUCGGGUUGUAAACCGCUUUCGCCUGUGACGAAGUGUGAGUGACGGUAAUGGGUAAAGAAGCACCGGCUAACUACGUG